Molecule: ribosomal RNA, 38 nt
Filed under: Phytophthora infestans T30-4
Lineage: Eukaryota; Oomycota; Peronosporomycetes; Peronosporales; Peronosporaceae
Description: 18S ribosomal RNA
Source: RNAcentral
CCAGGUCCAGACAUAGUAAGGAUUGACAGAUUGAGAGC